RNAcentral lists this transfer RNA (55 nucleotides) under Trichostrongylus axei. RNAcentral describes it as "tRNA-Tyr". The record is from RNAcentral. Lineage: Eukaryota; Metazoa; Nematoda; Chromadorea; Rhabditida; Trichostrongylidae.
AAGAAUUUAGUUUAUUAAAAAAUAUUAAAUUGUAAAUUUAAAGAAUUAUUCUUAG